This 300-nucleotide unclassified non-coding RNA is filed under the name uncultured fungus. RNAcentral describes it as "partial contains 5.8S ribosomal RNA, internal transcribed spacer 2, and large subunit ribosomal RNA". The stretch from base 1 to 52 matches the Rfam family "5.8S ribosomal RNA", at positions 103 to 154 of the family's 154-position model. The record is from RNAcentral. Lineage: Eukaryota; Fungi. RNAcentral also lists the same sequence under 1 other name.
AACGCACCUUGCGCUCCUUGGUAUUCCGAGGAGCAUGCCUGUUUGAGUGUCAUUAAAUUCUCAACCCUUUCAGCUUUUGCGAGCUGGAUUGGCUUGGAUGUGGGGGUUUGCGGGCUUCUCAGAAGUCGGCUCCUCUUAAAUACAUUAGCGGAACCUUUGUGGACCAGCUUUGGUGUGAUAAUUAUCUACGCCAUGGUUGUGAAGCAGCUUUAUAUGGGGUUCAGCUUCUAACCGUCCAUUGACUUGGACAAUUUCUGACAUUUUGACCUCAAAUCAGGUAGGACUACCCGCUGAACUUAA